This 241-nucleotide long non-coding RNA is filed under the name Homo sapiens (human). RNAcentral describes it as "HSALNT0105453". Lineage: Eukaryota; Metazoa; Chordata; Mammalia; Primates; Hominidae. The record is from RNAcentral.
GGUGGGCAGUGCCCUCUGCUGGCCAAAGAUGACACUGCCAUUUCAGGGAGCAGUUGGGGUUCUGGAAAGCAUAGAGUAUCACAUUGGGGAAAGGUGUGAGGUGGAAAGGGUGGAGAAUGUAGCCAUUUUGAGUUAAAGACAUGAAAUUUGUAGUAAACAAUCCCAUCAUCAGUCUCCAUGGGUACAACAAUAGUUAUGCAAGUAGCUGAUUCCUCCAAAUUACCCAACUGAGGGAAAGGAA